RNAcentral lists this unclassified non-coding RNA (416 nucleotides) under soil metagenome. RNAcentral describes it as "partial contains 5.8S ribosomal RNA, internal transcribed spacer 2, and large subunit ribosomal RNA". The stretch from base 1 to 120 matches the Rfam family "5.8S ribosomal RNA", at positions 35 to 154 of the family's 154-position model. The record is from RNAcentral.
GAUGAAGAACGCAGCGAAAUGCGAUAAGUAAUGUGAAUUGCAGAAUUCAGUGAAUCAUCGAAUCUUUGAACGCACCUUGCACUCCUUGGUAUUCCGAGGAGUACGCCUGUUCGAGUGUUAUGAAGCUCUCAAAACGCAAUUGGCUUAAAACCUGAUUGUUGUUUUGGAUUUGAACUUUGCCGUGUUAUAACGGCUGGUUUUAAAAGUAUUAGCUGGUACUAGAACGAAUUGGUUCUACUCAACGUGAUAAUUAUCUGAUCGUUGAGGACAUUCCUUUCACGAGGAAUGGCCAUAGUAAAUUCAAUGGACUGCUUCUAAUCUGGCUUUAAUUCUUGAUUGGAUUAACCACUUUUCAAAUCUGACCUCGAAUCAGGUGGGACUACCCGCUGAACUUAAGCAUAUCAAUAAGCGGAGGA